RNAcentral lists this long non-coding RNA (220 nucleotides) under Lathyrus oleraceus (garden pea). RNAcentral's name for it is "Pisum sativum (pea) long non-coding RNA (PSAT_LNC005201)". The record is from RNAcentral. Lineage: Eukaryota; Viridiplantae; Streptophyta; Magnoliopsida; Fabales; Fabaceae.
UUCCAUGAUUCUUGUGUGAUUGGUGCGGGUAUUGUAUUGAUGAGUCAGCUUGGCUGAAGCACAAAAGAAAUACCAAUAAGACAUUUGGCGAAAGAGAAACCUGCUAUGAAAAUGAUGCAUGAAAUGCAAUGCUUGAUUGUUUUUAUUUUCAAGGAACUUACUAUAUUAUUUGCAAAUAUAUAUAUAUAACAACAAUUGCAACAAUUUAAUAUGACCAUAA